UUGUAAUCUUCAUCAUCCUCAUCAUCAUCUUCAUCUUUAUCAUUUUUUUGGACAUGAUUUUGACACUUUGAAGCCUUUGAAACUUCAUGCCCUAAGGCUAAGGGUUGAUAAAAAUGUUAAUACAUCAUUUUCAUUUUGAGAAUUCAAAGUUACCUUGAUUUUUUGCUUCUCUCUCUCUCUUACCACCCUUAUCAUCAUUAAGUCUCUUUCUUUUUGGUGUAGCAAGAGAGGAAACAAGUGAAAAAUUCUAAACUUAUCAAAUAGAAUUUUUUGUAUUUUCUAUUCUCUUUCUGGAUUAUAAACAACAAACUUCUUCGCUCUUUGUGUUCAUCAUCUUCAUCUUACAACAACAAUUUUUUCUUCUUCAUCUCUCUAGUCAAUCACAUCAACUUUAAAUAAUCUUUUUUAUUAGUCAAAAUGGAAAUUUAAUUGUUGUUACUAAGCCAUCUUUUUUUUCAUCUCUAAAGUCAACUACAUUAUCUCUCUAUCUCCUAAAUCAUUGGAUUCAACUCUUUCUUAUCUCUGUUUCGGAUUUUCUUAUAUUUGUGUCUUAUCUUAUUCUCAUCUUAAAGUUUGAUAUCUUUCUUUUUGAUUAAUCUGUAUUUCAAAUCCCUAAGAGACCAGAGAGUUAACUUUAAAUCCGUUAAAAUCAUGUUUAUAGCCAGCCAACAUAGACCUAGACAUUCAACACACUGGUACCUUACAACGUGAUCAUCACUCUCAUCAUCAACUUCACCACCACCAACAACAGCAACUACAAAAUCAACACAAUACCUCCUCGUGUAAACCACCAAUUUGGACAGUGGCUUAUUCAUCAGCGACACCCUUAGAUCCCCACCAUCACCAUGGUGGGUCACUUUACUUUGAUCCAGCAACAUUAAAUAGGCAACAUCUCAGAAAUCAUCAUCACAACAAUGUAAACCUUAUGAUGUUCAAUCCUGGAGAUAUUAAAAGUGAUCAAAUCCAUCAUGUUGAUGUCGAUUCUA
Long non-coding RNA from Panonychus citri (citrus red mite), 986 nucleotides. RefSeq lists it as uncharacterized. The record is from RefSeq and is a predicted model, not a curated record. NCBI's taxonomy places the organism in Eukaryota, Metazoa, Arthropoda, Arachnida, Trombidiformes, Tetranychidae. The transcript has 3 exons.